Molecule: transfer RNA, 84 nt
Filed under: Aeromonas veronii
Lineage: Bacteria; Pseudomonadati; Pseudomonadota; Gammaproteobacteria; Aeromonadales; Aeromonadaceae
Description: tRNA-Leu
Rfam family: tRNA
About the family: Transfer RNA (tRNA) molecules are approximately 80 nucleotides in length. Their secondary structure includes four short double-helical elements and three loops (D, anti-codon, and T loops).
Source: RNAcentral
GCGAAUGUGGUGAAAUUGGUAGACGCAGGACAUUUAAAAUGUUCCGCCUUUGGCGUGUCGGUUCGAUCCCGACCAUUCGCACCA